UACAGGGGGUGCAAACGUUGCUCGGAAUUAUUGGGCGUAAAGCGCGCGUAGGCGGCUACUUAAGUCGGAUGUGAAAGCCCCUGGCUCAACUGGGGAAGUGCACCCGAAACUGAGUGGCUUGAGUACUAAAGAGGGUCGCGGAAUUCCCGGUGUAGAGGUGAAAUUCGUAGAUAUCGGGAGGAACACCAGUGGCGAAGGCGGCUACCUGGACCGGUUCUGACGCUGAGGCGCGAAAGCGUGGGUAGCAAACAGG
This 253-nucleotide ribosomal RNA is filed under the name uncultured bacterium. Its description in RNAcentral is "partial 16S ribosomal RNA". It matches the Rfam family "Bacterial small subunit ribosomal RNA", at positions 524 to 776 of the family's 1533-position model. The record is from RNAcentral.